ACACAUGCAGUCGAACGGUGAAGCCCAAGCUUGCUGGGUGGAUCAGUGGCGAACGGGUGAGUAACACGUGAGCAAUCUGCCCCUGACUCUGGGAUAAGCGCUGGAAACGGCGUCUAAUACUGGAUACGAACCGUGGAGGCAUCUUCAACGGUUGGAAAGAUUUUUUGGUCAGGGAUGAGCUCGCGGCCUAUCAGCUUGUUGGUGAGGUAAUGGCUCACCAAGGCGUCGACGGGUAGCCGGCCUGAGAGGGUGACCGGCCACACUGGGACUGAGACACGGCCCAGACUCCUACGGGAGGCAGCAGUGGGGAAUAUUGCACAAUGGGCGCAAGCCUGAUGCAGCAACGCCGCGUGAGGGAUGACGGCCUUCGGGUUGUAAACCUCUUUUAGCAGGGAAGAAGCGAAAGUGACGGUACCUGCAGAAAAAGCGCCGGCUAACUACGUGCCAGCAGCCGCGGUAAUACGUAGGGCGCAAGCGUUAUCCGGAAUUAUUGGGCGUAAAGAGCUCGUAGGCGGUUUGUCGCGUCUGCUGUGAAAUCCCGAGGCUCAACUUCGGGUCUGCAGUGGGUACGGGCAGACUAGAGUGCGGUAGGGGAGAUUGGAAUUCCUGGUGUAGCGGUGGAAUGCGCAGAUAUCAGGAGGAACACCGAUGGCGAAGGCAGAUCUCUGGGCCGUAACUGACGCUGAGGAGCGAAAGGGUGGGGAGCAAACAGGCUUAGAUACCCUGGUAGUCCACCCCGUAAACGUUGGGAACUAGUUGUGGGGUCCAUUCCACGGAUUCCGUGACGCAGCU
Molecule: ribosomal RNA, 792 nt
Filed under: unidentified microorganism
Description: bacterial SSU rRNA
Rfam family: Bacterial small subunit ribosomal RNA
Source: RNAcentral